CCUACGGGGGGCAGCAGUGAGGAAUAUUGGACAAUGGGCGCAAGCCUGAUCCAGCCAUGCCGCGUGCAGGAAGACUGCCCUAUGGGUUGUAAACUGCUUUUAUACAGGAAGAAGCGUUUCUACGUGUAGAGAUUUGACGGUACUGUAAGAAUAAGGAUCGGCUAACUCCGUGCCAGCAGCCGCGGUAAUACGGAGGAUCCAAGCGUUAUCCGGAAUCAUUGGGUUUAAAGGGUCCGUAGGUGGAUAAUUAAGUCAGAGGUGAAAUCCUGCAGCUCAACUGUAGAAUUGCCUUUGAUACUGGUUAUCUUGAGUUAUUAUGAAGUAGUUAGAAUAUGUAGUGUAGCGGUGAAAUGCAUAGAUAUUACAUAGAAUACCAAUUGCGAAGGCAGAUUACUAAUAAUCAACUGACACUGAUGGACGAAAGCGUGGGGAGCGAACAGGAUUAGAUACCCUGGUAGUCCACGCCGUAAAUGAUGGAUACUAGCUGUUCGGACUUCGGUCUGAGUGGCUAAGCGAAAGUGAUAAGUAUCCCACCUGGGGAGUACGUUCGCAAGAAUGAAACUCAAAGGAAUUGACGGGGGCCCGCACAAGCGGUGGAGCAUGUGGUUUAAUUCGAUGCAACGCGAAGAACCUUACCUGGGUUUGACAUGUAUGUAGUAGGGAUCCGAAAGGUGACCGACCCUCGGGAGCAUACACAGGUGCUGCAUGGCUGUCGUCAGCUCGUGUCGUGAGAUGUUGGGUUAAGUCCCGCAACGAGCGCAACCCUCGUCGCUAGUUACAAGUGUCUAGCGAGACUGCCGGUUUAACGCCGGAGGAAGGCGGGGAUGACGUCAAGUCAGCAUGGCCUUUAUAUCCAGGGCUACACACACGCUACAAUGGUCGGUACAAUGGGUUGCCAAGUCGCGAGGCGGAGCUAAUCCCAUCAAAGCCGGUCUCAGUUCGGAUUGCAGGCUGCAACUCGCCUGCAUGAAGUCGGAGUUGCUAGUAACCGCGCGUCAGCAUAGUGCGGUGAAUACGUUCCCGGGCCUUGUACACACCGCCCGUC
This 1045-nucleotide ribosomal RNA is filed under the name uncultured bacterium. RNAcentral describes it as "bacterial SSU rRNA". It matches the Rfam family "Bacterial small subunit ribosomal RNA", at positions 338 to 1398 of the family's 1533-position model. The record is from RNAcentral.